This 216-nucleotide ribosomal RNA is filed under the name Glomeromycotina sp. RNAcentral describes it as "partial small subunit ribosomal RNA". The stretch from base 40 to 216 matches the Rfam family "Eukaryotic small subunit ribosomal RNA", at positions 686 to 864 of the family's 1831-position model. Lineage: Eukaryota; Fungi; Glomeromycota. The record is from RNAcentral.
GGGUCAGUAGGUUGGUCGUGCCACCGGUACGUACUGGUCUCACUGAUUCCUCCUUCCUGAAGAACCGUAAUGCCAUUAAUUUGGUGUUGCGGGGAAACAGGGCUGCUACUUUGAAAAAAUUAGAGUGUUUAAAGCAAGCUAACGCUUGAAUACAUUAGCAUGGAAUAAUGAAAUAGGACGAUCGAUCCUAUUUUGUUGGUUUCUAGGAUUGACGUA